RNAcentral lists this long non-coding RNA (375 nucleotides) under Pongo abelii (Sumatran orangutan). RNAcentral describes it as "lincRNA". Lineage: Eukaryota; Metazoa; Chordata; Mammalia; Primates; Hominidae. The record is from RNAcentral.
GGGCACCCAAGAGAAAUCCUGCUGAGGAUUCAGGGACUGGGUGCUUUCAAGAUCUUAACCAAGAACCACAGUUCCUGUAAAAUGAGAGGAUGAUGUCAACGGCUUAUAGGAUCAUGAAGUCUCAGCAUUUUCAUCUUUCAGUCUCACCUCCUAUUUCCUGAAACAGGAGGCAACAAGAAUCAGGGCAUGCAAUGGGGCUCAACUUCUACUCUCUGCCACAAUUUUCAUCAUGAUUCCCCAAACACAGACCCAGACAGCAGGGGGCAGGGUGGGCAUUUCUGGACUGGAUUCUUUCAUAAUGAGUAUGAGAUCCAAGAUUUCAAUCCAUUAGGUCUCAGGUGCCAUCUGCUGAUAGAUCAGACUAGAUGGGUGUAA